This 253-nucleotide ribosomal RNA is filed under the name uncultured bacterium. RNAcentral's name for it is "partial 16S ribosomal RNA". It matches the Rfam family "Bacterial small subunit ribosomal RNA", at positions 524 to 776 of the family's 1533-position model. The record is from RNAcentral.
UACGUAGGGUGCAAGCGUUAAUCGGAAUUACUGGGCGGAAAGCGUGCGCAGGCGGUUAUGUAAGACAGAUGUGAAAUCCCCGGGCUCAACCUGGGAACUGCAUUUGUGACUGCAUCGCUGGAGUGCGGCAGAGGGGGAUGGAAUUCCGCGUGUAGCAGUGAAAUGCGUAGAUAUGCGGAGGAACACCGAUGGCGAAGGCAAUCCCCUGGGCCUGCACUGACGCUCAUGCACGAAAGCGUGGGGAGCAAACAGG